This 253-nucleotide ribosomal RNA is filed under the name uncultured bacterium. RNAcentral describes it as "partial 16S ribosomal RNA". It matches the Rfam family "Bacterial small subunit ribosomal RNA", at positions 524 to 776 of the family's 1533-position model. The record is from RNAcentral.
UACGUAGGGUGCGAGCGUUAAUCGGAAUUACUGGGCGUAAAGCGUGCGCAGGCGGUUUUGUAAGACAGGUGUGAAAUCCCCGGGCUUAACCUGGGAAUGGCGCUUGUGACUGCCAGGCUAGAGUGCGUCAGAGGGGGGUAGAAUUCCACGUGUAGCAGUGAAAUGCGUAGAGAUGUGGAGGAAUACCGAUGGCGAAGGCAGCCCCCUGGGACGUGACUGACGCUCAUGCACGAAAGCGUGGGGAGCAAACAGG